GAGGUAUUAGUAAAUUUAUUACAUGACUUUGUCAAGGUCAAAUUAUAGAACAUAAUCUAUAUACUUCA
Molecule: transfer RNA, 68 nt
Filed under: Oligoryzomys stramineus
Lineage: Eukaryota; Metazoa; Chordata; Mammalia; Rodentia; Cricetidae
Description: tRNA-Asp
Source: RNAcentral